This 464-nucleotide ribosomal RNA is filed under the name uncultured bacterium. RNAcentral describes it as "partial 16S ribosomal RNA". It matches the Rfam family "Bacterial small subunit ribosomal RNA", at positions 339 to 795 of the family's 1533-position model. The record is from RNAcentral.
CUACGGGGUGCUGCAGUGGGGAAUAUUGGACAAUGGGGGCAACCCUGAUCCAGCAAUACCGCGUGUGUGAAGAAGGCCUUCGGGUUGUAAAGCACUUUAGGCGGGGAAGAAGGUUAUUAGUUUAAGAGAUGAAUAACUUGACUGUACCCGCAGAAUAAGCACCGGCUAACUCUGUGCCAGCAGCCGCGGUAAUACAGAGGGUGCAAGCGUUAAUCGGAUUUACUGGGCGUAAAGGGCGCGUAGGUGGUUGCGUAAGUGAGAUGUGAAAUCCCCGGGCUUAACCUGGGACGUGCAUCUUAGACUGCGUAGCUGGAGUGUAGUAGAGGGUAGUGGAAUUUCCGGUGUAGCGGUGAAAUGCGUAGAUAUCGGAAGGAACACCAGUGGCGAAGGCGGCUACCUGGACUAACACUGACACUGAGGCGCGAGAGCGUGGGGAGCAAACAGGAUUAGAUACCCUCGUAGUC